AUUGAACGCUGGCGGCAGGCCUAACACAUGCAAGUCGAACGAGUGGCGGACGGGUGAGUAAUGUCUGGGAAACUGCCUGAUGGAGGGGGAUAACUCCUGGAAACGGUAGCUAAUACCGCAUACCAUCGGAUGUGCCCAGAUGGGAUUAGCUAGUAGGUGGGGUAAAGGCUCACCUAGGCGACGCUCCCUAGCUGUUCGGAGAGGAUGACCAGCCACACUGGAACUGAGACAAGGUCCAGACUCGUACGGGAGGCAGAAGUGGGGAAUAUUGCACAAUGGGGGCAAGCCUGAUGCAGCCAUGCCGCGUGUAUGAAGAAGGCCUUCGGGUUGUAAAGUACUUUCAGCGGGGAGGCGUUACCCGCAGAAGAAGCACCGGCUAACUCCGUGCCAGCAGCCGCGGUAAUUC
Molecule: ribosomal RNA, 406 nt
Filed under: uncultured bacterium
Lineage: Bacteria
Description: partial 16S ribosomal RNA
Rfam family: Bacterial small subunit ribosomal RNA
Source: RNAcentral